Meriones unguiculatus (Mongolian gerbil) is the source of this 3043-nucleotide long non-coding RNA. RefSeq lists it as uncharacterized. The transcript has 3 exons. NCBI's taxonomy places the organism in Eukaryota, Metazoa, Chordata, Mammalia, Rodentia, Muridae. The record is from RefSeq and is a predicted model, not a curated record.
UCAGCGCGAACGUGGCAGAGACAGGUGGAACUUUGUGACUUUGAGUUCAGCCUGGUCUACAUAAUUAACUCUAAGCCGGCCAAAGCUGCACAGUGAGACUGUGCCUUAGCCAGACCAGACCAAACCAAACCAAACCAAGUCAAAAACAAACAAAUGAACAACACUCCCCACCCCUGCCUGUCAAAUCACAGCAUACAAUGAAAAAGUAAAGGUUCUUUUUUGGAAGCUUGCUUCUCACAUUCAACAUGGGUGCAGAAAGGGCUGCAUGACUUGACGGAUACAGCCUUUUGUUUGCUUGUUUUUCGAAACAGGGUUUGUCUGUGCAGCCUUGGCUGUCCUGGAACUCUCUCUCUCUGUAGACCAGGCUGGCCUCAAACUCACAGAGAACCACCUGCCUCUGCCUCCCGAGCCCUGGGAUUAAAGGCAAGAGAGACUUCCAUCAGAAGCAGCUUAUUGGAUUAGGAAAGCGAGAGGAACAGGAGAGCUGCCCGAUCUGGUUGCAGGAUGGAGUCAAAAGGGGCCACUGGUCUUUCUGUUGGGACCGUCUGCAGUCUCAUGGUCCAGACUCCUAAAGCAUCUCAUCAGGCUGUACCACGGGGCCCUCAUAAAGACACAGCCACCUUCUGCGUUGCCAGCCGGAGUUUCCAUGAGUACAGAUUCCUGAACACAGUGGCCUCUUGGCGGUCGCCUUAUCCUGCUCUCCCCAUAGGGAGAAACUCCUCCAUCGUGGCCGAGGUGACCUGGGGAGGUUGUGGUCUGACAGCGAGAGGUGCAGCUUGGAGAGAUGGAGGAUGGGGCUUGAACCCUGGUGAUGAGUAUGUUUCCUGGAUGUGAAUUCUUUUUUUUUUUUUUUUUCCCACACGCUAAGAUCUAGUAUUGAAAAGCCCGAGGCUCACGCUGGGGGAGUCAGGCUCUGUGGAUGAGGGGGACUCUGGGUACAUCCCUCAGGGCCUUCACUCUAGUCUCGAGGAGGUGUGGUGGGAUACGCCAGCACUGGGGAUAGCAUCUCAAACCCACACACCCAGCUUCUGCUCUCUCCGGAGACUGAGGCUCAGCUGUAGGGUGGAUGCUCUUUUAUUGGCCUCCAGGCCACCAAAGCUCACCAAGGCAUGUCCCAAUCACUCAUCACUCAACAGAUUUCUCCACCAGGAGAUCCCAUGAACUCCACUGUGUUUCUUUUGCUGAUUUACCUGGCACAUAGCCACUGCCCAUGCCUACUACCCAUGUAUCUAUCACAGCUCUUGGUGGGGCCUGGCCAAGGUUAGAUUGCCUUUUUUUUUUUUUUUCCAGAGAUGCAUCACCAUGUCUAAUUUAUGAGGCUCUGGGGAUCAGAAUCAGAGCCUUGUGCAUCUAGGCAAGCACCCUACCAACAGCCAUAUCCAUGGCCUUCACACUGUUUCUUGACUCCUCUGUUCUGUAUGGGCUUUCUAAGAAAGCCCUUGAGACAGCCUAUCUGGAGAAAUGAUUGGGAGGCUACUUUGCCCAGCACUCUUCUAGCAACCACUUCACUUCUAGCUGUCCAGAAAGUCGGGUACACCAGGAGGGCCAGUCCCUGGUCUGAGGGAUUAGGGUACUUGGGUCUAAACAGCUCCUUUAAUGUAUGGGCCAGCCAUGUCUGCAUGUCUCGUGACCACUGAGGACAAGCUUAAGAAUAUCUGGGAAGGCACUCAAAACCCAUAGUCACUGUCUGUUGAUCCUAAUCUGAUGUCCCUGUCCCCACAGGAUGUGAGCUGUGGACAUGGGGAUGGGUCAGGUGUAUAUAGCCUCUUUUUUUUUUUUUAACAGGACCAUUGUAUGAGUCAAACUCAUUCUCCCCCUGCUUCUGCCUCCUGGGUACUAGGUUACACCAUACCAGAACCAGAGGUUUUGCCUCUUUCUCAGUUUUUUAAAACAGGGUUUCUCUGUGUAGCCUGGGUUGUUCUAGAACUCACUGUAUAGACCAGGCUGGCCUUAGACUCACAGAGAUCCACCUGCCUCUGCCUCAUGAGUGCUGGGAUUAAAGGAGUGUGCCACUGCCUUGAGCUCAAGGGUUCUCUUAAAGCAUCACAUGUAUGAGAUGGCUGUGUGAUUUGUGGGGCCAAGUACAAAAGAAAAAUGCAGGGUCCCUGGUUCUAAGAAAAAUGAAGCGAUGCUUCCCUUUUUCUUUGUCUUCUCCACCUGCCAUGGUACCCACAACUUGAUAGUUAAAAUGUCACAUUUCCUCAGGCACCAGGUUACCCACAGACACAAGUAAAUGCCUGAAGACACCUGGACCCAACCCACCUCCCUCUGCUGAAGCCCAGGCCCUUCUCAGGUUUAGAGUGUGGUGGGUCACUGGGCAGGGUGGUCAUAAAGCCCCAAGAACAGAGGCUAUAUCCUCCCAAGUAACAAGAUGCUCCACCCAUAGCUCCGGAUAUAGCCGAGUUAACAUCCAGUAUCAAUCCUGACGAUGGUUGAUAUUGGUUGUCAGCUUGACUACGUCUAGAAUGAACUACUGUCCAGACAUGGAGGGCACACCUGGGAGAGAUUUUUUUUCCUUGGUUUGAAGUGGGUGAAUCCCUUUCUAGUUGGGACCUUUUAGGUAGGAAGACACAUCUUUUUGUUGUUGUUUUUGUUACUGUUUUUCAAGACAGGUUUCUUUGUGUAGCCCUGGUUGUGCUGGAACUAACUCUGUAGACCAGGCUGGUCUCCAACUCACAGAAACCCACCUGCCUCUGCCUCCCAAGUGCUGGGAGACACACAUCUUUGAUCCCGAUUUUGAGGUGAGAAGACACCUGUAAUCCAGGCCACACCUUCUGUUGGAAGCCUCUAUAAGGACAGGGAAGAAGGAAGCUUUUGCUCUUUGCCUGCUUGCCCUUACCUUCAUUCAUUCCUUCACUGCCAUUAGAUCCUACUUCUUUGGGAGUCCAGCAUACACAGAAGACUAGCUGAGACAUCCUGUCUUAUGGGACUGAGCAACUACUGGAUUCUUGGACUUCAUUUUCACAGGCAGCUGUUAACUGUUGGAUUAGCUGGACUGCAGCUUUGAAAUCAUUCCAAUAAAUUCCCUUCAUAUGUAUAUACA